RNAcentral lists this transfer RNA (66 nucleotides) under Acanthobdella peledina. RNAcentral describes it as "tRNA-Asn". The record is from RNAcentral. Lineage: Eukaryota; Metazoa; Annelida; Clitellata; Acanthobdellida.
UAAGUGAAGGCAAAUAUAAUAGCACCUAUCUGUUAAUUAGGAAAUAGUUAAUAAAUUAACUCACUU